Molecule: long non-coding RNA, 931 nt
Organism: Chinchilla lanigera (long-tailed chinchilla)
Lineage: Eukaryota; Metazoa; Chordata; Mammalia; Rodentia; Chinchillidae
Exons: 3
Source: RefSeq, a predicted model, not a curated record
AGGGAAUCCCGAAGCCAGCCCCUCCCCCAUUUGUCCAACUCCCCAGUCUCUGGCCCACUAUCCCUAAGCCAGCCCACACGCCGGUCCCAGAGGGCACAAGGCACACCUCACCUUUGGUCUCUUCAUUACGGUGACAGGCAGCUACCUCCCAGUCCACUCGACAAGACUGGCCUUCCCUGGCAACCAUCAACACUCCUAUCACCACCCUGUUGGCCAAGUACUUGCCCCUACUUCAAGUCUGGAGGCCUGUUUCUACACCUGCAAAACAAGGAAACCAGAUUGGAAGAUUUGUUAGUCUCCGCCCACAUCCGUCCCUUCCGCUGCUGGCAGAGAGGGAGAAGGGCUGGGCUUCUCUGUUGCGUGCCAUCAAGGCCUGGGGGUGAUGGGUAUACCCCUUUGUUCUGAAACUGUGGGGCCCACUGCUGAACAAGAAUGAAACUGUCCUGACAGAGACAGGGGGCGGAGGUGGGGGGUGUGCAGACCUGGUGGUCAUACACACACUCCUGCCCCUAGGAUCUGACGAUGUUGAACGGCCUGGACUUGAGGUCUGCUUUCUGGGGCUUGGAGGAAAAGUAAGAAGUAGACUGGAUGCAGAUUCUGGCCCAUGCCAGGCCAUGGGUUUGCCAUCCCCUGACCCUAUCUGUGUUGGGCGCUCACAUAGCAGGCAGGCAAGGAUGGCCGGGAGUUGGAGGGGUCCCUUCCCAUCCACGUCUUCCUGGGCCUCAGCCACACUAACUUCCAUGCCCCUGUUCAGACUUCUCUGCUCUCUAGGUCUUCCCAAGCACAGUUAAGAGUCAACUCCCCUGGGUUCUAAUCUUGGCUCUGUCACUCAUGUCCUGCCUACACUAGCAUGUCCCAGGGCGCCGGUUUUCUCUUCUAUAAAAUAGGAAUAAGCAGAAUGUGUUGGCAAACACCUGUCAUCCCAACUAUU